UUGUGGAGGAGGACGCCGGAGGUGGGGCUAAUGACUGGGGUGAAGUCGUAACAAGGUAGCCGUACCGGAAGGUGCGGCUGGAUCACCUCCUAACAGGGAGACAACAAAAUGUUUAAUAUUAUUAUUUUGUCACCUUAGGUCGAUCUGUAUCUCACAUUCUUAAUUUAUUAAGGAUUUUAUUUCCUAAGUUUUUUCUAGGUCACACCCAUUACUUUUCCUGGGCCAUUAGCUCAGGUGGUUAGAGCGCACCCCUGAUAAGGGUGGGGUCCCUGGUUCAAGUCCAGGAUGGCCCAUAUCUCUAUGUUGGGGGUAUAGCUCAGUUGGUAGAGCGCCUGCUUUGCAAGCAGGAUGUCAGCGGUUCGAGUCCGCUUACCUCCACUGAUUACCACCUCUUUCAUAAUUUUUAUUAAGGAAAUGUUUUGAGUAGUGAUCAAAUUCUGAACGAAUCUAGCUUCCUAAUGAAUUCAUUAAGAUGCUGGACUCAUUGAAUUAAUUUCAUUGUUUUCAGAGAACCUUGACAACUGCAUAGAUUAUUUUUAAAGACAAUAAGCAUCUUUUAUGAUGCAGAUUUAUUAUUUGUGCGAAUGCAUUAAUAACAAUUCUAUUAAGCUGAUGCUUCAAUUAUGAAGUUAUUGGUCAAGCUACAA
This 647-nucleotide unclassified non-coding RNA is filed under the name uncultured Prochlorococcus sp. RNAcentral describes it as "partial 16S-23S ribosomal RNA intergenic spacer; may also contain 16S ribosomal RNA and 23S ribosomal RNA". The stretch from base 306 to 378 matches the Rfam family "tRNA". Lineage: Bacteria; Bacillati; Cyanobacteriota; Cyanophyceae; Synechococcales; Prochlorococcaceae. The record is from RNAcentral.